RNAcentral lists this unclassified non-coding RNA (841 nucleotides) under Hevea brasiliensis (rubber tree). The record is from RNAcentral. Lineage: Eukaryota; Viridiplantae; Streptophyta; Magnoliopsida; Malpighiales; Euphorbiaceae.
UUUGUUUUUUUUUGAGUUUUUUUUUAUUUUUUGUUAUAAGGGUGGUGUUAUUUGUAUAUUUGAGGUUAUUGAUAUUUUUUUCGGUAAUUUUGAUUUUAGUUUGUGUUUUAUUUAGUUUAGUAUUUUUUAUGAUGUAUUUUGUAUAUAAGUUAAAUAAGUAGGGUGAUAAUAUAUAGUUUUGACGUAUUUUUUUUUUUAUUUGGAAUUAGUUUGUUGUUUUAUGUUUAGUUUUAAUUGUUGUUUUUUGAUUUGUAUAUAAAUUUUUUAAGAGGUAGAUUAGGUGGUUUGGUAUUUUUAUUUUUUUUAGAAUUUUUUAUAGUUUAUUGUGAUUUAUAUAGUUAAAGGUUUUGGUAUAGUUAAUAAAGUAGAAAUAGAUGUUUUUUUGGAAUUUUUUUGUUUUUUUUAUGAUUUAGCGGAUGUUGGUAAUUUGAUUUUUGGUUUUUUUGUUUUUUUUAAAAUUAGUUUGAAUAUUAGGAAGUUUACGGUUUAUAUAUUGUUGAAGUUUGGUUUGGAGAAUUUUGAGUAUUAUUUUAUUAGUAUGUGAGAUGAGUGUAAUUGUGUGGUAGUUUGAGUAUUUUUUGGUAUUGUUUUUUUUUGGGAUUGGAAUGAAAAUUGAUUUUUUUUAGUUUUGUGGUUAUUGUUGAGUUUUUUAAAUUUGUUGGUAUAUUGAGUGUAGUAUUUUUAUAGUAUUAUUUUUUAGGAUUUGGAAUAGUUUUAUUGGAAUUUUAUUAUUGUUGGGAGUUAGUGAGGAAUUUUUUUUAUGAUAAAGGUUAUGAGGAAGGAGGUUUGGUAUAUGUAAAUGUGGGAUUGAGUUUUAGGAGUUUAUUUGGAUAUUUUUGAG